Megalopta genalis is the source of this 1184-nucleotide long non-coding RNA. RefSeq lists it as uncharacterized. Lineage: Eukaryota; Metazoa; Arthropoda; Insecta; Hymenoptera; Halictidae. The record is from RefSeq and is a predicted model, not a curated record.
UGGAUCACCACAUCGACCGAUAAAACGUCGGGCAACGGUCGGCGACGUCGAUCGUCGCAAGCGGAUCUCGGUAGUCGUGUGGUGCAACGCGUGUGUGCCUGGCGUUUACGCCCCUCGGUAAAUCAAUCACACGCCACGGUCCGUGCGCGCGGACGCGUUGUUUUUACGGGUCCGUCGCGUCGUGUCCGGGCUCCUUGGUCGCGUACGCCGGUCACGCCUCCCGCAGCGGAGCGAAAGGCGUCGUUUACUACGGCGUCGCGUCCGUCUGAAACCGUAAUUCAUCUUUCCGGAUGUCGGGACGGUUCGGGGGCGGCUGACCUCCGAGAGAGUUUCGAAAUCAUCCGGCGGUCGUUCGACGGCGUUCCAUAAAACGAGAGACGAGUUUGUUCGGUUUGACGGCCGCACGCCGGCGGGAGGGGUUAAAAAAAACAACGGCGCAACGACGGUGUAACGAGAAUCGCGCUGGCACAAAGCGAUAGAGUCGCGCGCCGUUCGCCUUUGUGAUUCAGAGCAGACACGCCGGAGAUCGCGCAGGGGUGUGGGACAGGCAGACAGACAGACGAUAUACGUGAAAGCUCGGGAGGUGGAACAUCCGCUAAUUGGAUAAUUACGGAGUGCGCCGCGUUUGUUUUAUAAUUGGGCGAAGCCCGUGGAACAGUUCCUAGCCUCGACGUGCCAAACAACGAAACGGCCGGAGUCACGCUCUACGUGACGAACUACCCUCGCAGCUAAUCCGAACACCGGAACCCCUCGGUUCUAGCAGCUCGCCCGCCCCCUGCCGCGACGGGCUCGUGGCUCCCGUCACUGUCUCUGACCCCCACGAGACCCGACUCUGCCCCCCUUCACACCCCUUCAUCCACACCCUACUCGGACAAGCAUCGCCAAGAUUCUAGGAAAGCGGAAUCAAUUUUUGACGCUGUCGAGCCUGAUCGAAUUAGACGGAAUCGUUGAUAAACGGGGCCUCGGAUGAUCACACGUGUAAACGUCAUAAAGUAAAUUGCUUGGAAGAGUUUGUUAAACAGACUAUUGUAACGAGGCUGGAAUUAUUGGUUGUACCUUAGGCAAUCCGCAGUGUACUGGAUGUAAGUAACGGUACUUGCAGUUGGGGUAAUUAAUAAAAAUAAAUAACAGCACAUACAGAUCAUGUAUGUUGAAAGAAAACAAUUAUACGAAAUCUAUCAAAA